Molecule: long non-coding RNA, 1699 nt
Filed under: Anas zonorhyncha (Eastern spot-billed duck)
Lineage: Eukaryota; Metazoa; Chordata; Aves; Anseriformes; Anatidae
Description: lncRNA (ENSAZOG00000018533.1)
Source: RNAcentral
UUUUCCUACGUGACCUACCUAGGGACCUAAGUAAGGAGAACUAAACUAAAAGUCUCAUUGCAUUACAUAUUGCUAUUACCAUAAUACCCAGGAAAACCAGCCCUGGACAAGAACCCCACCACAAAAAAGGUACAAACACUGGAAGAUUGCUGCCUUCAGAAAACUUAAAAAUAAGACAGCAGUGAAGUUUAGAGAGGUGUCUGAAGCAAGCCAAGUAUGUAAACACCUAGAACCCACACCUAUAAACACAUUGAAACCCAACUAGAUACUCAAAAUACUAACUGUGCAGUCAAACAGAGAGACAAAACAUCUGCUGGUAAAGAUGCCAUUGUACUUUUCCUAUCUAGGCAAAGGAGGGCUUCUUAUUUUACAGCUGUAGCACAAAAGUAUGCAAUAAACAUAUAAGGCAUUAUCUCUCUCCCUUUGAAAGGGAAGUUGCUAAGAGAAUGGAGUCUGCUGCUUUCAAAUUCAACAAACACUCCUGGCACAGCUGCCUACUCACCUGAUAGAAAUACCCUACAAACGAUGUGACAGUGCAUACCUCUCCUCCACUAAAACCCUAAUAACAGAAACAAGGAAAGAAAUCAGCAAACGGAAGAGAAGAGAAGCUGUUUUUAUUUAUUAGAUGCAAAUCAAACACUGUAGCUUCUAGACACUGAUACUGUACACACCAUACAGCCAAAUGAGAACAGAAAGAGACUUUCCUCACAACUAGAAAACUUCUGCAACUUGGAUUCACCAAGUUUUGGGGGUUUACAAUGAGAACCAAGGAUGCAGAAGUGAGGGCAGGAUUACAGAAUCAUAGAACGGCUUGGGUUGGAAGGGACCUUAAAGAUCAUUGACAGUUACUGUUCUCAGUGUAAUCCUCUGAGCAGAAAAGAUCAUGCAAUUAUGUGGACUUUGUAUCCUCCCAUUUUCUCAUCCAGGACAGAAAUGUGUAUUUUAAAUGCAUAAAUGCAUCAUGUUUUCCUUCAUUCUGUUCUUCUGGAGUGACUUUUUUUUUUUUUUUUCCCCAAACAGAGGAUUGCUGCUGUUCAGUGAUAUUCCCACUGCUUAAAAAGGUGCAGUGCCUUCUCUUUGCAAGAAGCAAAUCUAUUAAUAUUACCUGUCUUGAAAAAAAAAAAACAUACGGAGUUAACUAUUUAGAGCCUUAACAAUACAGUGGAGAUUAUUUCAGGGUUGCAGUUCAAGCACUGUUGAAGUCUGCCUCCUCCUCUUCCCUCCCCCCACUUCUUUUUUUUAAAGCAGUUUAGGAGUAGAUCAGACAAUUACAGUUCAGUGUCUGGUAGGAAAACAGAAAAACAUAUGACUGUAACUAUAGCAAUGAUAAUGUUGAUAUAAGAAAUUCCAAUGUCCAAGGAUUUAAAAGCCAAACACAGAAAUCUAAUUAGAACCUUCGACAAAAACUGGGUGAAUAAAUAAAUUGUAUGCUGAAGAAAAUACUGGGGGAAAAAAAAUAAACAUUUUCCCCAAAUGAGCUCAAACAUCUCAUUUAAAAGAAAAAUGAAGACACAAUUUCAAUGAAAGAUUAUUUCAUGACUUUAGGGAAAAUGUAGACAUACAGAGUGAAACAAUAAUGCAUUAAGUUUUCCCAAAUAUGGUAAAUAUCAAACCAUAACAAUUUAUCAUCAGAACUGAACAUGCAUUUUUCUAAUUAGAUCAAUGCUAUGAACUGUUGCCACACCCUGAAAAAUGCUCU